AUACGGAGGGUCCAAGCGUUAUCCGGAAUCAUUGGGUUUAAAGGGUUCGUAGGCGGGUCAAUAAGUCAGCGGUGAAAUCUUGCAGCUUAACUGUAAAAUUGCCCUUGAAACUGUUGACCUUGAAUUACGGUGAAGUGGUUAGAAUAUGUAGUGUAGCGGUGAAAUGCUUAGAGAUUACAUAGAAUACCGAUUACGAAGGCAGAUCACUAACAGUAUAUUGACGCUGAUGAACGAAAGCGUGGGUAGCGAACGGAAUUAGAAACCCGUGUAGUCC
This 274-nucleotide ribosomal RNA is filed under the name uncultured bacterium. RNAcentral describes it as "partial 16S ribosomal RNA". It matches the Rfam family "Bacterial small subunit ribosomal RNA", at positions 523 to 796 of the family's 1533-position model. The record is from RNAcentral.